UACGGGGGGGGCAAGCGUUGUUCGGAAUUACUGGGCGUAAAGCGUACGUAGGCGGCUUUGUAAGUUAGAGGUGAAAGCCCGGGGCUCAACUCCGGAAUUGCCUUUAAGACUGCAUCGCUUGAAUCAUGGAGAGGUGAGUGGAAUUCCGAGUGUAGAGGUGAAAUUCGUAGAUAUUCGGAAGAACACCAGUGGCGAAGGCGACUCACUGGACAUGUAUUGACGCUGAGGUACGAAAGCGUGGGGAGCAAACAGG
This 253-nucleotide ribosomal RNA is filed under the name uncultured bacterium. Its description in RNAcentral is "partial 16S ribosomal RNA". It matches the Rfam family "Bacterial small subunit ribosomal RNA", at positions 524 to 776 of the family's 1533-position model. The record is from RNAcentral.